GAUGAACGCUGGCGGCGUGCCUAAUACAUGCAAGUCGAGCGAACAGACGAGGAGCUUGCUCCUCUGACGUUAGCGGCGGACGGGUGAGUAACACGUGGAUAACCUACCUAUAAGACUGGGAUAACUUCGGGAAACCGGAGCUAAUACCGGAUAAUAUAUUGAACCGCAUGGUUCAAUAGUGAAAGACGGUUUUGCUGUCACUUAUAGAUGGAUCCGCGCCGCAUUAGCUAGUUGGUAAAGUAACGGCUUACCAAGGCGACGAUGCGUAGCCGGCCUGAGAGGGUGAUCGGCCACACUGGAACUGAGACACGGUCCAGACUCCUACGGGAGGCAGCAGUAGGGAAUCUUCCGCAAUGGGCGAAAGCCUGACGGAGCAACGCCGCGUGAGUGAUGAAGGUCUUCGGAUCGUAAAACUCUGUUAUUAGGGAAGAACAAAUGUGUAAGUAACUAUGCACGUCUUGACGGUACCUAAUCAGAAAGCCACGGCUAACUACGUG
RNAcentral lists this ribosomal RNA (497 nucleotides) under uncultured bacterium. Its description in RNAcentral is "partial 16S ribosomal RNA". It matches the Rfam family "Bacterial small subunit ribosomal RNA", at positions 28 to 507 of the family's 1533-position model. The record is from RNAcentral.